AUUGAACGCUGGCGGCAUGCCUUACACAUGCAAGUCGAACGGCAGCACGGGUGCUUGCACCUGGUGGCGAGUGGCGCACGGGUGAGUAAUACAUCGGAACAUGCCCUGUAGUGGGGGAUAGCCCGGCGAAAGCCGGAUUAAUACCGCAUACGAUCUACGUAUGAAAGCGGGGGCCCUUCGGGCCUCGCGCUAUAGGGUCGGCCGAUGGCUGAUUAGCUAGUUGGUGGGGUAAAGGCCUACCAAGGCCACGAUCAGUAGCUGGUCUGAGAGGACGACCAGCCACACUGGGACUGAGACACGGCCCAGACUCCUACGGGAGGCAGCAGUGGGGAAUUUUGGACAAUGGGCGAAAGCCUGAUCCAGCAAAGCCGCGUGUGUGAAGAAGGCCUUCGGGUUGUAAAGCACUUUUGUCCGGAAAGAAAUCCUUGGCCCUAAUACGGUCGGGGGAUGAUGGUACCGGAAGAAUAAGCACCGGCUAACUACGUG
RNAcentral lists this ribosomal RNA (486 nucleotides) under uncultured bacterium. RNAcentral describes it as "partial 16S ribosomal RNA". It matches the Rfam family "Bacterial small subunit ribosomal RNA", at positions 30 to 507 of the family's 1533-position model. The record is from RNAcentral.